UUUUUAUGGAGAGUUUGAUCCUGGCUCAGGAUGAACGCUGGCGGCGUGCCUAAUACAUGCAAGUCGAGCGAACAGACGAGGAGCUUGCUCCUCUGACGUUAGCGGCGGACGGUGAGUAAC
RNAcentral lists this ribosomal RNA (120 nucleotides) under Staphylococcus epidermidis NIHLM095. Its description in RNAcentral is "partial 16S ribosomal RNA". It matches the Rfam family "Bacterial small subunit ribosomal RNA", at positions 1 to 114 of the family's 1533-position model. The record is from RNAcentral. Lineage: Bacteria; Bacillati; Bacillota; Bacilli; Caryophanales; Staphylococcaceae.